Varroa destructor (honeybee mite) is the source of this 1758-nucleotide long non-coding RNA. RefSeq lists it as uncharacterized. The record is from RefSeq and is a predicted model, not a curated record. NCBI's taxonomy places the organism in Eukaryota, Metazoa, Arthropoda, Arachnida, Mesostigmata, Varroidae.
UCAAUAUCGUUGAAUAAUAACAGUAAUUAUUGUUAUUCUAUUAAUAGUACCUUCAUAGAAAACAACAAGGUUUGAUUAGGCCCUUAGUUAUCUAUCAUUUUUUCCUUGUCUUGUCAUUACGAUGUAGCAGUGGUGGUAGUAAUAAUAUUAAUUAUAAUAAUUAAUGCCAAUCUGUGGUAUUGAUAACAGUGACCGUAUCGUUUCAUUUUGCCGGCAUCUUUGUUGUAUAUUACUUUCUCAGUCACUUUCUUGUUCGUCAUAAUAUUGCUGACGAUAACAAUAAUAACAGUAAUAAUGUUUGUCCUAGUGAUCAUAAUUAGAAAAGCCUUUUUUUUUACCUGUUUCUUCUUUUAAUUAUCGUCGCUAUUUUCAGUCUGGCCUAAUUCUGUUACUGUCGAUGUUACCCGUGAAAACUGCUGAGGUUACCGUACCAAUUAUUAACACUACUAGUCGAGCUAAUGGUCAUCUCCGCUUGCAACUACCAUUUGAUUUCGUACUGCGAUAUAUAAUAUUGUUAGUAUCAUAAUCAGUAACGGUAAUAUAUGACUAAUCCGUAAACCAGCUGAUAAAUCCAUCUAGAAUACGACCAGCAGACCGAGAUUCUCCAGCUGGCUUUCUAGCACACGACCGAGCUACCGAGUACGACCUCGCUUUCGUUCGCUUGAUAUCGUUCUAUCUUUAUUUCCUAAUAUAAUAUAAUUAGAAUUCCCUUUUAGGAGCACUCGUGUAUUCAGUCGUUAACCUUAUAAUCGGCUGCAGCUCCAUAUACUUGCUACGACCUUCUUUUUCCACUAUGUUAGUAUUAAAAUUGUAGCUGAUUCGUUAGACUUUGCCGCUAUCGACGUACUUCGUGCUUGUUGUCUUUUCGUCUUAAACGCAUUUCCUUCUCAUGCCAUCUCUAUCGGCGCAGUGAAAAUCGAUAUUUCCGUAUAGCUUAUUCUACAUGCCUAAAAUUUUCCAUCAUUUUCAGCUGUCCUAUGUGUUCGCUCGUCACCAUAUUGAUACAGCAACUGUCCCUUCAGGAAGCACAACGUUGUCAUGACGCACCGUGUGUGCAAACGAAACACCCAUCCGAGGCGUCGUGUACUCUACACAGCUGUACUCGUGUACAGCUAGUCAUAUAUGAUCAUAGACCUGCACAAUACGUUGAGUAGUUGUUGUUGUUGUCUAUUACGUUAGAGUAUGUCUUAACAAUUAGACGUCGGAAAGAAAGGAGUCAACGCGGACGGGCCUGUAUAAGUUUGGGUGAUUUGUCUGUGUGUGCGUCUAAUCAGCUGGUUACGGGCCCGCCCUGUAAACAACGUCAACAUUGAUUGAUUAGACAUAUAGUAACUGCCGCCGCCGCCGCCGUUGUCGUCAUCACGGUACAUUGGUAAACAUCGACGAUAGGCAUCGACAGGUAAGGAUCGUGCCACCACGCCGUUUCCUGUGGUACCAUCAUAGCCGGUAUAUUCUGUUGUUUUUAUCCAUUAUCAAAAGUGCUUUUUCCUUCUACUUUGGUGACAGGCAGAUUAGUGUCGCUGCUAUAGUAUUUUAUUUGCACGUAUUACGUCUCACGCAAAUGUCUCACAGCGUUCAGCUCGCGCUGUUGAAGGCCCGACGGAGGAAGCUCUGGAAACACAUCUAAGAAGUGACCCCGGUUACCGCCCCUGGCCGCUAGGGGUCGCUUGCAUCGUGGACCCACCUUGACAUCGAAUCCGUAGACCCCUUAGUUAGUGACAUUUACAAUAAAGAUAGGCUUCCGCAGCCUCGAACCUA